This 253-nucleotide ribosomal RNA is filed under the name uncultured bacterium. RNAcentral describes it as "partial 16S ribosomal RNA". It matches the Rfam family "Bacterial small subunit ribosomal RNA", at positions 524 to 776 of the family's 1533-position model. The record is from RNAcentral.
UACGUAGGGGGCUAGCGUUGUCCGGAAUCAUUGGGCGUAAAGAGCGUGUAGGCGGCCCGGUAAGUCCGCUGUGAAAGUCGGGGGCUCAACCCUCGAAUGCCGGUGGAUACUGUCGGGCUAGAGUGCGGAAGAGGCGAGUGGAAUUCCCGGUGUAGCGGUGAAAUGCGCAGAUAUCAGGAGGAAUACCCAUAGCGAAGGCAGCUCGCUGGGACGUUACUGACGCUGAGGCGCGAAAGCGUGGGGAGCGAACAGG